AUUAAUACCUAUGUAAAUUGUUUUUUCGACUGCGAAUAAGAGCGAAAAUUUUGUAAGCUGUAUUUUUUCUUUAUUUUUAAUAUUUUAUUUUUAUAUUACUAUUGACCUCUUUUGGCGUAAAAAAAUAGCGUCGGCUGAUAAACAGCUCAGCUUACGUGAUUGGCUUAUAUGGAUAAAUAAAAAGAUAACACGUGGUGCAUUAGGAGCCCGAAAAAAACGCUCGAAGAUGAAUAAGUUUUGGGCCGGAACGAUUGAAGAAGUGGGGAGUGUUUUUCUGUAACCAACAAGAAAGUGGCCAGAAAACUCUCCACAACACGAAUCGUCUGUAAACCGUAAGUUAAUUGAUGGCUGAUAUAAAUUCUAUAAAUAGCAAAAAAUUGCCCACAAUAAAGAACUUGGUAUCCGAGGCCCAAGUUCGAAUUCUAGUUAAUUCAUAUUUCCAGCUAAAUUUAUUUCUAAAUGAAGUAAAUGAAGCGGGUAGCGUACUACCUAUCUCUCAAAAAAAAAAA
Molecule: long non-coding RNA, 509 nt
Filed under: Ananas comosus (pineapple)
Lineage: Eukaryota; Viridiplantae; Streptophyta; Magnoliopsida; Poales; Bromeliaceae
Description: long non-coding RNA (ACOM_LNC013163)
Source: RNAcentral